This 465-nucleotide ribosomal RNA is filed under the name uncultured bacterium. RNAcentral describes it as "partial 16S ribosomal RNA". It matches the Rfam family "Bacterial small subunit ribosomal RNA", at positions 28 to 507 of the family's 1533-position model. The record is from RNAcentral.
GACGAACGCUGGCGGCGUGCUUAACACAUGCAAGUCGAACGGAAAGGCCCUGCUUGCAGGGUACUCGAGUGGCGAACGGGUGAGUAACACGUGGGUGAUCUGCCCUGCACUUCGGGAUAAGCCUGGGAAACUGGGUCUAAUACCGGAUAGGAGCCAUUUUUAGUGUGAUGGUUGGAAAGUUUUUUCGGUGUAGGAUGAGCUCGCGGCCUAUCAGCUUGUUGGUGGGGUAAUGGCCUACCAAGGCGGCGACGGGUAGCCGGCCUGAGAGGGUGGACGGCCACAUUGAGACUGAGAUACGGCCCAGACUCCUACGGGAGGCAGCAGUGGGGAAUAUUGCACAAUGGGCGCAAGCCUGAUGCAGCGACGCCGCGUGGGGGAUGACGGCCUUCGGGUUGUAAACUCCUUUCGCUAGGGACGAAGCUUUUUGUGACGGUACCUAGAUAAGAAGCACCGGCUAACUACGUG